RNAcentral lists this ribosomal RNA (502 nucleotides) under Escherichia coli. RNAcentral describes it as "partial 23S ribosomal RNA". It matches the Rfam family "Bacterial large subunit ribosomal RNA", at positions 2421 to 2925 of the family's 2925-position model. The record is from RNAcentral. RNAcentral also lists the same sequence under 1 other name. Lineage: Bacteria; Pseudomonadati; Pseudomonadota; Gammaproteobacteria; Enterobacterales; Enterobacteriaceae.
CGGUGGUUCCGCAUGGAAGGGCCAUCGCUCAACGGAUAAAAGCUACCCCGGGGAUAACAGGCUUAUCUCCCCCAAGAGUUCACAUCGACGGGGAGGUUUGGCACCUCGAUGUCGGCUCAUCGCAUCCUGGGGCUGUAGUCGGUCCCAAGGGUUGGGCUGUUCGCCCAUUAAAGCGGUACGCGAGCUGGGUUCAGAACGUCGUGAGACAGUUCGGUCCCUAUCCGUCGUGGGCGUAGGAAAUUUGAGAGGAGCUGUCCUUAGUACGAGAGGACCGGGAUGGACAUACCUCUGGUGUACCAGUUGUCGUGCCAACGGCAUAGCUGGGUAGCUAUGUGUGGACGGGAUAAGUGCUGAAAGCAUCUAAGCAUGAAGCCCCCCUCAAGAUGAGAUUUCCCAACUUCGGUUAUAAGAUCCCUCAAAGAUGAUGAGGUUAAUAGGUUCGAGGUGGAAGCAUGGUGACAUGUGGAGCUGACGAAUACUAAUCGAUCGAAGACUUAAUCAA